AUUGAACGCUGGCGGCAGGCCUAACACAUGCAAGUCGAGCGGAUGAAGCGAGCUUGCUGCUGGAUUCAGCGGCGGACGGGUGAGUAAUGCCUAGGAAUCUGCCUGGUAGUGGGGGAUAACGUCCGGAAACGGGCGCUAAUACCGCAUACGUCCUGAGGGAGAAAGUGGGGGAUCUUCGGACCUAACGCUAUCAGAUGAGCCUGGGUCGGAUUAGCUAGUGGGUGGGGUAAAGGCCUACCAAGGCAACGAUCAGUAACUGGUCUGAGAGGAGGAUCAGCCACACUGGGACUGAGACACGGCCCAGACUCCUACGGGAGGCAGCAGUGGGGAAUUUUCCGCAAUGGGCGAAAGCCUGACGAAGCAAUACCGCGUGAGGGAAGAAGGCUCUUGGGUUGUAAACCUCUUUUCUAAGGGAAGAACAAAAUGACGGUACCUAAGGAAUCAGCAUCGGCUAACUCCGUG
This 462-nucleotide ribosomal RNA is filed under the name uncultured bacterium. RNAcentral describes it as "partial 16S ribosomal RNA". It matches the Rfam family "Bacterial small subunit ribosomal RNA", at positions 30 to 507 of the family's 1533-position model. The record is from RNAcentral.